GGAAGUAUACCGAAGUUGAGGAAUCGGGGCAAACUCAAGGAACGAAUUGAAUUCCUUAAAAUGAAAAGAUACGGGAUUAAAAAUCUGUGCUGGCAGCUGAGCAGGUUCGAAUCCUGCUACUUCCA
This 125-nucleotide transfer RNA is filed under the name Chryseobacterium gallinarum. RNAcentral's name for it is "tRNA-Phe". It matches the Rfam family "tRNA". From Rfam's summary of the family: Transfer RNA (tRNA) molecules are approximately 80 nucleotides in length. The record is from RNAcentral. Lineage: Bacteria; Pseudomonadati; Bacteroidota; Flavobacteriia; Flavobacteriales; Weeksellaceae.